GACGAACGCUGGCGGCGUGCUUAACACAUGCAAGUCGAACGGAAAGGCCCUGCUUUUGUGGGGUGCUCGAGUGGCGAACGGGUGAGUAACACGUGAGUAACCUGCCCUUGACUUUGGGAUAACUUCAGGAAACUGGGGCUAAUACCGGCUAGGAGCUCCUGCUGCAUGGUGGGGGUUGGAAAGUUUCGGCGGUUGGGGAUGGACUCGCGGCUUAUCAGCUUGUUGGUGGGGUAGUGGCUUACCAAGGUUUUGAGGGGUAGCCGGCCUGAGCGGGUGGCCGGCGACAUUGGGACUGAGAUACGGAGCAGGCUCCUACGGGAGGCAGCAGUGGGGAAUAUUGCACAAUGGGCGGAAGCCUGAUGCAGCAACGCCGGGUGCGGGAUGACGGCCUUCGGGUUGUAAACCGCUUUCGCCUGUGACGAAGCGUGAGUGACGGUAAUGGGUAAAGAAGCACCGGCUAACUACGUG
RNAcentral lists this ribosomal RNA (468 nucleotides) under uncultured bacterium. Its description in RNAcentral is "partial 16S ribosomal RNA". It matches the Rfam family "Bacterial small subunit ribosomal RNA", at positions 28 to 507 of the family's 1533-position model. The record is from RNAcentral.